This 324-nucleotide long non-coding RNA is filed under the name Elaeis guineensis (African oil palm). RNAcentral describes it as "long non-coding RNA (EGUI_LNC022835)". The record is from RNAcentral. Lineage: Eukaryota; Viridiplantae; Streptophyta; Magnoliopsida; Arecales; Arecaceae.
AAUAUUCAGGAAUUGUUCACUCUUCUUAAAUUCUCAACUAACCUAAAAUUCUUGCAAUGAAUUGUAGAUAUGAAUCGAACUUUUGAUAUCCAAUACUCAGGUAGUAGUAUCAUAGAUAGAAAAAUUACAAGAUGUUAUCAUAUAAGUACCUUGUCCAACAACUCUUUGUUGAUUUCUCUCCUUAGGCUUGUUUGUUUCUACAUGACUCUGGUUUGUCUUAGACUGCUUAGGAUCAGCACAGUUUUUUUUCACUUUGCAUUUACUUUCUCUCUUAGAGGAUCAAUGCCCAGUUGAGGAUAAAUUCUCUAGUGUGCCAAAGAACUU